This is a long non-coding RNA of Hylaeus anthracinus, 1293 nucleotides long. RefSeq lists it as uncharacterized. The transcript has 2 exons. Lineage: Eukaryota; Metazoa; Arthropoda; Insecta; Hymenoptera; Colletidae. The record is from RefSeq and is a predicted model, not a curated record.
GGUUGUCCCGAAAGUUUCUUUCGCGAGUUGCACUGAAUUAUUUGAUGUGGUCGUGUUUAUAUAGAUAGACAAUCUAAUUUCAUAGAUAUUCAUGUUGUAACAGUAAUGGAGCAAAAUGAAUCGUGUACAAUUCAGUAAUGUAGCAUAAAACAUAUAAUAUUGUGCAUGUAUUACUUAUUAAUAAAGCGAAAGAAACUUUCGGGACAACCUAAUAUAUGGAAGUGAGACAAUGUUGUUCCUGUUUGUUGUUUACAUUUUGUAACGAAAUGUUAAUCUGAAUCGAAGUUAAACUAAAAUUUAGGAGACGUGAACGAGAGAAAACCAAUAUAAUAUAAUUAAUUAGGCGUAGAAAUUAUUCCUCUGGCUUCAUAUUCAAUCUAUUAUAAGUUUAGUUUAAACCGAAAUAAUUACCAACAUUCUAGGUUCUUGACCUGGGACUCUGUUAUAAUGAAUCUGUACAUAUCGUUACAAUCUACAUAUAUGUAUGUACGAAGUUUGAUAGCCAUGCGUUUUUGCUUAUUGUUAUUAUUCUCACAGAUUACACAAGUGUGCUUGGUAAUUACAGUAAUUGAAAAAGAGUAACAACAAGCAAAAUUCGAAGGCUACUAAAAGUUUGUAUGGAUGCAUUGCAGCAGUGACCAUCAGGUUGAGACUUAGGUUAUGUGAAUAGAUACAUUGUAAUAGAGUUGAAACUGAGGACUCGGAAGGCUUAGAAUGAGCAAAUAAGUAUAUCUACUUUAGCGACGAUUAAGUUUAAACUAGAGUUAUAAAUUAUUAAAUACAGAGGCACAGAAUUAAUUUCUACGCCUAAUACAUAAAAAAAAAAAAAACGAACACGACAGAUGGCGCCAUUAACCAAUGUGGCUGAGAGCGUUAUGUAUCUUCGAAUAAGCCUUUGAAUAGUCUAAAUAUUCCAAUACUCAUGGAUUCAGCUGAAAUGCUCUAAUAUAAAAUAAAUUCGACAAUUAGUCCCUGCCACGUAAAUUGAGAAGGACAUACCUAAAAUGUCGAUUCAUUAUGCUUUUAUUUGACUUUUUCGUGCUCCAUCUCCUCGAUAGAGGGAGCAACUAGUCGCACUAGUGGUCCUGCGACGUAGAACGACGCCCAUCGACAAAGGCCUCUGGAUGCAGGCAUUGUCUCAAAGGCGCCUGUCCGUCUACGACGAAUCUCGGUGCGGUGCCUGACGUCACGCAGGACAUGGAAGACCACCAUGCUUCGAACUUUUUUUAAAAAUCAAAUUUUGUAAAAGUUGCUUCCCCUUGAGUCUCCCGCAAUAAAAACAGUUUUGUGGAA